This 27-nucleotide non-coding RNA is filed under the name Mus musculus (house mouse). The record is from RNAcentral. Lineage: Eukaryota; Metazoa; Chordata; Mammalia; Rodentia; Muridae.
UCGUUAGGGCCACGAGGUAGGAGCUGC